AGCUAAUGAACUUGUUAAAGUAUAUAUUUUGAAAAUAUAAAAAAGAGAAAAUAACUCUAUUAGCUU
RNAcentral lists this transfer RNA (66 nucleotides) under Acrocrypta assamensis. RNAcentral's name for it is "tRNA-Ser". The record is from RNAcentral. Lineage: Eukaryota; Metazoa; Arthropoda; Insecta; Coleoptera; Chrysomelidae.